Molecule: long non-coding RNA, 884 nt
Organism: Setaria italica (foxtail millet)
Lineage: Eukaryota; Viridiplantae; Streptophyta; Magnoliopsida; Poales; Poaceae
Exons: 2
Source: RefSeq, a predicted model, not a curated record
GGCUUCUCCGAGCUAGAUCCACUGGAAAACCCUACUCCGACGCGACCGCGAAGCUCGCCCCGCCGUAGCCCGUAGCCUCGCUGCCGGCGCGAGCUUGUCGGCGGUAAUGUCGAUCCGAAUGGCUUGAUGGUGCUGCACGUGGCGAGAGCGUCCAUGCGCUUCACCGAUGCUGAUGCAGGUCCAUCCAUGCGGAUGUGGCUGACCGGGCCUCAGCCUGCACUGUUCCCCCGCCGACUGCCGACUACGCACCUACGUUGCAGUUCACGAGGGGGCCGCCAUCCGGCCACGGGCGAUGGACUCUACGAAGAUACUAUAGUGCCGCCGUCACCUUGGCCGGGGAUGCCGCCACGGCGCCACCGCUGCCCGGCCGGCCGACAGGCCACGGCAACCUGUAGAACCCGCUUCAGUAAUCAGGUACUUGUACAAAGGUUUGGUAUCAUGGUGUGCCGGGCAGAAAAGAUAAGUGGUCCUUGGUUUUGAACUUUUGAUCCAAAGUUCAUGAGGCCAUCAUGAUAAAGGCAAAACUACAGCCUUUGGUGCUUGAAGUUUCAAAGUUCCAUUCCUCCUUUCAUCUGGGCACUCAUCGUUAUCGACUUAUCGUCGUAUGGAGCAGCUCAAAGUGUUUGCAUGGUACCAGAAGACCCAACGCCGAUGCAACAUGCACCAGAAUUUGCCAUGACGUCCAAGUGCUACCGCUGGCACACCCUUUGUUCUUAGAAGUAACCUCUGCAUCUUCUAUUCGUUUUCUUCAGUACCACACCUUCCACACUCCAUGUUUGAUGUGCAUAGCUGCUACUGAAAGUCUGAAACCCUGUUGCACGAUGCAAAACUGGCCCCGUACCUGGGAGCACUGUGCCGUUGUCCUGGAGCUCUGAAUUCGCCAA